This is a long non-coding RNA of Oncorhynchus tshawytscha (Chinook salmon), 386 nucleotides long. NCBI's taxonomy places the organism in Eukaryota, Metazoa, Chordata, Actinopteri, Salmoniformes, Salmonidae. The record is from Ensembl.
UAUAUUGUGCACACAUGCACAAGCAUGAUUUAGCGGCCGUGUGUGUUGCUGUUAUUUGAGGAAUAAAAUAAAUGAAAUGUUGGUGUGGGACAGGGUUUGGGUUAGAGUGAAGGAUUGUGAAGGAAUUAGCUAGAGAAGGAUGGGACAAGGAUGUCUGCAUGUCUUGAGGAGCUGUAGGUGGAGGCUAUAAGGAUGUCUGCAUGUCUUGAGGAGAUGUAGGUGGAGGCUAUAAGGAUGUCUGCAUGUCUUGAGGAGCUGUAGGUGGAGGCUAUAAGGAUGUCUGCAUGUCUUGAGGAGAUGUAGGUGGAGGCUAUAAGGAUGUCUGCAAGUCUUGAGGAGAUGUAGGUGGAGGCUAUAAGGAUGUCUGCAUGUCUUGAGGAGCUGUA